GACGAACGCUGGCGGCGUGCUUAACACAUGCAAGUCGAACGGAAAGGCCCUGCUUUUGUGGGGUGCUCGAGUGGCGAACGGGUGAGUAACACGUGAGUAACCUGCCCUUGACUUUGGGAUAACUUCAGGAAACUGGGGCUAAUACCGGAUAGGAGCUCCUGCUGCAUGGUGGGGGUUGGAAAGUUUCGGCGGUUGGGGAUGGACUCGCGGCUUAUCAGCUUGUUGGUGGGGUAGUGGCUUACCAAGGCUUUGACGGGUAGCCGGCCUGAGAGGGUGACCGGCCAAAUUGGGACGGAGAAACGGCCCAGACCCCUGCGGGGGGGAGGGGGGGGGAAUAUUGAAAAAGGGGCGGAAGCCUGAUGCAGCAACGCCGGGGGCGGGAGGAGGGCCUUCGGGUUGAAAACCGCUUUCGCCUGGGACGAAGGGGGAGGGACGGGAAUGGGAAAAGAAGCACCGGCUAACUACGU
This 467-nucleotide ribosomal RNA is filed under the name uncultured bacterium. Its description in RNAcentral is "partial 16S ribosomal RNA". It matches the Rfam family "Bacterial small subunit ribosomal RNA", at positions 28 to 506 of the family's 1533-position model. The record is from RNAcentral.